UUGAUUUUUGCCUCAGUUACGAAUUGGGGAAGCUUAUGAAACGGGGAUCUAAAGGGCGGAAUCCGUUCGUGGUGUGAUGGGAGGAGAAACGGUCGGGAGCGAGAGAAUCGAAGGGGAGAUCAACCUGCGGUGGAGGCGCUCGAGCGAGGAGGAAGACGAAGGGGGCUCGGGCGCUCGGCAGCGGGAUGAGUGGCGGCGCUCGCGCGAGGAGGAAGAAGAUCCACGGAGCGAGGGGGCUGUGGGGCUCGGCAAGGAGAUGGGGUAUAGCUUUUUUUUCGAGAGGAGGAGAGGGGGUAUAGGGUUUAGGUGGCCAUCAGGUUGGCCUGGCCCGCCACCGGCCGGUCUAAGGUUAAACGGGCCUGGCCCAGUCGCGGCCCGGUGAAACCCGACUCCUCCAGGCCUAGGCACGGUACCAUAUAGCUGGGCCAACUAUCCAAGGAGUAAAUGAGAAU
RNAcentral lists this long non-coding RNA (452 nucleotides) under Brachypodium distachyon (stiff brome). Its description in RNAcentral is "long non-coding RNA (BDIS_LNC001490)". The record is from RNAcentral. Lineage: Eukaryota; Viridiplantae; Streptophyta; Magnoliopsida; Poales; Poaceae.